GGGUUGUGAGGUUAAGCGACCAAGCGUACACGGUGGAUGCCCUGGCAGUCAGAGGCGAUGAAGGACGUGCUAAUCUGCGAAAAGCGCCGGUAAGGUGAUAUGAACCGUUAUAACCGGCGAUGUCCGAAUGGGGAAACCCAGUGUGACUCGUCACACUAUCAUUAACUGAAUCCAUAGGUUAAUGAGGCGAACCGGGGGAACUGAAACAUCUAAGUACCCCGAGGAAAAGAAAUCAACCGAGAUUCCCCCAGUAGCGGCGAGCGAACGGGGAGGA
RNAcentral lists this ribosomal RNA (274 nucleotides) under Salmonella enterica. Its description in RNAcentral is "partial 23S ribosomal RNA". It matches the Rfam family "Bacterial large subunit ribosomal RNA", at positions 1 to 266 of the family's 2925-position model. Lineage: Bacteria; Pseudomonadati; Pseudomonadota; Gammaproteobacteria; Enterobacterales; Enterobacteriaceae. The record is from RNAcentral. RNAcentral also lists the same sequence under 2 other names.